This 492-nucleotide ribosomal RNA is filed under the name uncultured bacterium. RNAcentral's name for it is "partial 16S ribosomal RNA". It matches the Rfam family "Bacterial small subunit ribosomal RNA", at positions 29 to 507 of the family's 1533-position model. The record is from RNAcentral.
AGUGAACGCUGGCGGUAGGCCUAACACAUGCAAGUCGAACGGCAGCACAGUAAGAGCUUGCUCUUACGGGUGGCGAGUGGCGGACGGGUGAGGAAUACAUCGGAAUCUACUUUUUCGUGGGGGAUAACGUAGGGAAACUUACGCUAAUACCGCAUACGACCUACGGGUGAAAGCAGGGGAUCUUCGGACCUUGCGCGAUUGAAUGAGCCGCUGUCGGAUUAGCUAGUUGGCGGGGUAAAGGCCCACCAAGGCGACGAUCCGUAGCUGGUCUGAGUGGAUGAUCAGCCACACUGGAACUGGGACACGGUCCAGACUCCUAAGGGAGGGAGCAGUGGGGAAUAUUAGACAAUAGGCGCAAGCCUGAUCCAGCCAUACCGCGUGGGUGAAGAAGGCCUUCGGGUUGUAAAGCCCUUUUGUUGGGAAAGAAAAGCAGCAGGUUAAUACCCCGCUGUUCUGACGGUACCCAAAGAAUAAGCACCGGCUAACUUCGUG